This 2112-nucleotide small RNA is filed under the name Pan troglodytes (chimpanzee). Its description in RNAcentral is "retained intron". Lineage: Eukaryota; Metazoa; Chordata; Mammalia; Primates; Hominidae. The record is from RNAcentral.
UUAAACCCGUCUGGGUCUUGGGGGCCUUUGUGCAGCUCCUGACUUGGCCCAUUACUUAGAGUAGUUCGUAACACAGGUGAAGUGUUGUUAGUUACCAGGCACUGUUAAAGGUGCUUUACAUGUAGUGACCUGUGUAAUUUCUCACAUUAAUCCUUAAUGAGAUGGACGGGGGAAGUGGAGGACAGGGGGCUUAAAUAACACGCCCGGGUUCACGUAGCCUUUAUGUGAAGCAGGACUCAGAGCCAGACCGCCUGGCUCCAGAGCCGGCACUGCUCUGUUGUAACCCAGCUGAAGGAGUAUUUUACCUUGUGACUGUAGACACAGCCAUCCAUAGAUCACACACGUCUGUGUGUAACAGACAAAAUGGUGAAAAUGGCUGAUUUGAUUUCUGAUUCCUGCGCAGUUUUCUGUCAUGCUUCACUAAAUGAUUUACUGGUGGGUUAUGUCCCACAGUUAAAAACAUGGCCCAGGCUCUGCUUCUCACUAUGGGUUGAGCACUUGGUGUGGGCCAGGCAUGUUUUUCUAGUGGUCCCGAUUCACUGUGAGGACAUGGGAGGCCAGAGCAGGGGUUAUUAUCACUAACUUGGGAGGGGCAGGAGAGGGGACCCUGGCAGCUGGACAGAGGUGCUGACUGCAGCUACUCUCCCCAAGGUGAAAUUCAUGAAAAGCAAGCCGGGGGCCGCCAUGGUGGAGAUGGCUGAUGGCUACGCUGUAGACCGGGCCAUUACCCACCUCAACAACAACUUCAUGUUUGGGCAGAAGCUGAAUGUCUGUGUCUCCAAGCAGCCAGCCAUCAUGCCCGGUCAGUCAUACGGGUUGGAAGACGGGUCUUGCAGUUACAAAGACUUCAGUGAAUCCCGGAACAAUCGGUUCUCCACCCCAGAGCAGGCAGCCAAGAACCGCAUCCAGCACCCCAGCAAUGUGCUGCACUUCUUCAACGCCCCGCUGGAGGUGACCGAGGAGAACUUCUUUGAGAUCUGCGAUGAGCUGGGAGUGAAGCGGCCAUCUUCUGUGAAAGUAUUCUCAGGCAAAAGUGAGCGCAGCUCCUCUGGACUGCUGGAGUGGGAAUCCAAGAGCGAUGCCCUGGAGACUCUGGGCUUCCUGAACCAUUACCAGAUGAAAAACCCAAGUGAGUAUCUGUGUGUCCUGCAGGCAUCAACCUGGUGACCUAAUGGGUUGGCUGGCUUCAGGCCAGGGAUGUCCUUCCUGCCCUUGAGAUAGGACCCCGGAAUCUUCGCACUGUUGGUGACACAGGCAGGUGGGACCUGCUCAUCAGGAGAGCAGCCUGUGCUCCUCAUGGGAGAGCCAGCCUGACUGCCUGCUGCCACUCACUCUGCCAGCUUGGGAGUUGCUCAGGCUUGUCCUCCAGGGAGGUGGCAUUCUCUUCUUUGCAUCAGAGACUGGCUUAGGUAGGAAAGCCACUCUGUUACUAGGAAAGAGGCAACACUAUCCAGCAGGUAAAACUUGCCCACCCAGUUGCUGGGAAAGGCCCAUUGCCUUGGGCUGGCGAAGGAGAUAGGAAUGGGAUUCUCUAUGGGAAUGAAGGAAGAGAAGGAGAAACGCCGUGCAUAAUUGGUAAUUGGCUCAUCUUGAAGCCUCACGUUGGGCAGUCACUCCUUAGACCCCUGCCGUUGACCUGCAGAAAAUGGGAGAUGGGUACAAACUUGAGGGGACCUGGGUUUGGGGAGCCUCCAAAGACAGGAACCAACCAAACUUGUCUCUCCUUUGCAGAUGGUCCAUACCCUUACACUCUGAAGUUGUGUUUCUCCACUGCUCAGCACGCCUCCUAAUUAGGUGCCUAGGAAGAGUCCCAUCUGAGCAGGAAGACAUUUCUCUUUCCUUUAUGCCAUUUUUUGUUUUUGUUAUUUGCAAAAGAUCUUGUAUUCCUUUUUUUUUUUUUUUUUUUUAAAUGCUAGGUUUGUAGAGGCUUAACCUUAAUGGAAACGCUGGAAGUCUGCAGGGGGAGGGAGAGGGGAACUGGUAUCUCCCAAGAUUAACCUUCACUUUUAAAAAAUUAUUGUACAUGUGAUUUUUUUUUUCCUGUUCAUACAUUUGUGCUGCCCAUGUACUCUUGGCACAUUUCAAUAAAAUUGUUUGGAAAAUAAACACAGC